CCUACGGGGGGCUGCAGUGAGGAAUAUUGGUCAAUGGACGAGAGUCUGAACCAGCCAAGUAGCGUGAAGGAUGACUGCCCUAUGGGUUGUAAACUUCUUUUAUAAAGGAAUAAAACGAGGCACGUGUGCCUUUUUGCAUGUACUUUAUGAAUAAGGAUCGGCUAACUCCGUGCCAGCAGCCGCGGUAAUACGGAGGAUCCGAGCGUUAUCCGGAUUGAUUGGGUUUAAAGGGAGCGUAGAUGGGUUGUUAAGUCAGUUGUGAAAGUUUGCGGCUCAACCGUAAAAUUGCAAUUGAUACUGGCAGUCUUGAGUACAGUUGAGGUAGGCGGAAUUCGUGGUGUAGCGGUGAAAUGCUUAGAUAUCACGAAGAACCCCGAUUGCGAAGGCAGCUUACUAAACUGUGACUGACAUUGAUGCUCGAAAGUGUGGGUAUCAAACAGGAUUAGAUACCCUUGUAGUC
Molecule: ribosomal RNA, 460 nt
Filed under: uncultured bacterium
Lineage: Bacteria
Description: partial 16S ribosomal RNA
Rfam family: Bacterial small subunit ribosomal RNA
Source: RNAcentral